This is a small nuclear RNA of Cavia aperea (Brazilian guinea pig), 150 nucleotides long. Its record names the gene U1. It matches the Rfam family "U1 spliceosomal RNA". From Rfam's summary of the family: U1 is a small nuclear RNA (snRNA) component of the spliceosome (involved in pre-mRNA splicing). Its 5' end forms complementary base pairs with the 5' splice junction, thus defining the 5' donor site of an intron. There are significant differences in sequence and secondary structure between metazoan and yeast U1 snRNAs, the latter being much longer (568 nucleotides as compared to 164 nucleotides in human). The record is from Ensembl. NCBI's taxonomy places the organism in Eukaryota, Metazoa, Chordata, Mammalia, Rodentia, Caviidae.
ACACAUAACUAGCAGGGGAGAUGCCAUGAUCACAUAAAUGACUUUUUCAGAGCAAGACUUACGCCUUACAUUCCAGACAUGCUGACCCUUAUGAUUUCCUCAGAUUUGAAAAACUUGACUGUUUAAUUUUUAUUAGUAAGGGACUCCAUU